ACUUUUUAAAGGGAAGGAAAUU
Molecule: transfer RNA, 22 nt
Filed under: Brookesia tuberculata (Mount d'Ambre leaf chameleon)
Lineage: Eukaryota; Metazoa; Chordata; Lepidosauria; Squamata; Chamaeleonidae
Description: partial tRNA-Leu
Source: RNAcentral